Solanum stenotomum is the source of this 2632-nucleotide long non-coding RNA. RefSeq lists it as uncharacterized. The record is from RefSeq and is a predicted model, not a curated record. The transcript has 8 exons. Lineage: Eukaryota; Viridiplantae; Streptophyta; Magnoliopsida; Solanales; Solanaceae.
AAGAUCAACAGUGGUCACAGGGCCUGGUUGAACCAACUAUAUAAGUAGACUAAACAGUUGGAUUUAAGAAUGUGGUUAGGAAUUGAAAUCCCAUCAAAACAUCUACGAGUCCUUUCAUUCCAGAUGCACCAAAAGAAUGCCGCAGGCACCAUACGCCAGGUUUUUUUAAUGGGUUUCCCAACUCUCCACGAACACCAGCUCUCAUAGGCUUCUUUAAUACUAUUUGGCAUGACCCAGGUAAUUCCAAAAACUGAUAAGAACAUACUCCAUAUGCCUGCUGCUACUUUACAGUGCAAAAAUAGGUUCCUUACAAAAACUGAUAAGAACGUAUUUUCAAGUCAAAGAUUCUAAAUCUGCAUAACUGUAAGUACUUCCUUUCCUCCAACCUCACUGCAUUGUCUGUAUCUUCAUCUGAAGCAGUUCUGGAGGACUUCUUCUAUUGAUAUUACCAAGUGGCUAAACUAUAUCUUUUCUCAGAUUUGGCACCCAGAGCUUUGUAUGUGAGAGGCACUGUUAUAGAUAUGAUGUUCAACACUUUUUUUUCUUUAAAUUUGUUGAUCACUUCUGUAUGUAGGCAUGUUUUGAUGAUUUAUUCUAGCUGAAGUUGAGCUGGAACAUACGUAUUCGUGCUUAGCGACAUCAAAAUACUGCCAUUCCGAUGUUAUGCAUGCUUUCCCAGCAAGCUUUGGCUUGAAAGGAGAGGCUCUGAGCUGUAUUUCUUACCUUUCUUUGUUGGAAAUUGUUACUAAAACUCAUGGGAUGCCAAAUGGAUAUCGAAAGGUUUGAAGGGUGGAUGGGGACUUGCAUAAAUGGAUUGAUACUGGAAAUCGAGGUAAAACAGAUGAGCUUAUAAGGAAAAAGAAGAGUAGAAGAAGUCAUACAGCUCUUCCAUUUUACCAGGGCAAGAAGAAGUUCUUUGGCACAAGUGAGUCUGCAAGAAGGAAGCAGGAAAUAAUAAAAUUAAGACUGUUAAUGAGGUGCCACUCAUGCCAGAAACUAGAGCCGUAAGGAGACUGCAUCAUUCUGCAGAAACUAUCUGGUCGGAGCUUCCAUGGCAGUCAUCCCAUCAAUGCCAAGUGUGAAAAUAAAACUUCUUAACAUCUGAAAUAGCAAAUUACAAGAUCAAGGGGAGUGCACAAGUACACGCGAUGGGGAGUCAAAAUAAGGUGUGGUUCUUCUCUUUAUUGAGUAUACUGUCGCAAUUCUCUAGACUUAAAGUAAUUCUGCUGGUGAGAGCAAUUGCAGUAUCAACAUUUAUCACUUUCUUUUCUCUCAAGCAACUUUUGGAAAACCUAGAUAAGAAUAUAGUUGUUGAAGUAUCCUCCUCAUCUGUUGCUAUUUCAUUUCCUGCACCUCUUUUCAGAUAUACCUGUGAAUUAUGAGAUUAAAAAAAAGAGGUGCAGGGCCCAGAGUUGGAAAUCUACACUGGAGCUCCUUCCCCCCGGCAAAAGAAACUGACUGGAGAGUGCACUGUCAGGAGAGAGAUUGGAUCUUUGCAGAAUAUUCUGUGAGGAAGUGCUUCUGAAAUGUGUGAUCCCUGAGUCCAGAUUCCUCAGUCAGAUAGAAAGUUCAAGUCGGUCAAUUGAUGGAUCUCUUGCUUAUUGCACAGUUGGUGUAAACUAGAAAUCCAGAAGCUCUGCGCGACCCCUUUCAUCUAAUGUUUUACCUACAGGGGAUAAUUUCUUGGAUAGCAACUUUUUAGAUAACAAAUUCAAUGCUUCAGCUAUAAAUCAGACUGCCUGUUAGGUUGAAGGAUGAGUUUGUGAAACAAUUGUAGCUGGCAGAUCAACAGAGGAUGUUUCCUUUAGGGAGUCUCUUGAACGUGAUGACAGUUCAAAUGUGAUGCAUGAGAAAAGGAAAUGAUUUAUGCAGAGCUGUUCUUUGCACAAAAGCCUGGUACAUGAUGGACCAUCUUUUGAUAAUGGUGAAAUUUUUAUGCUUGUCCUAAAGAGGAUAUGGGCAGUACUUGAUCCAUGGGACGUUUAUAGUUCAGGUGCUUCUGAAUUCUAUUAUGAUGGAGAUGAUUUGUUACUUGUACAUUCUCAUGGUGAAGAAAAUCUCAAGAGAUGGAUCAUCAAAAAAAUCUUAAGAAUUAUUUGAUACCACGAGCUAUGAUCUCCUCUAGGGUGGAUGGGGACUCAUAAAUGGAUUGAUGCUUGAAAUCGAGGUAAGACAGAUGAGCUUAUAAGGAAGAAGAAGAGUAUAAGAAGUCAUUCAGCUCCUCCAUUUUGCCAAGGCAAGAAGAAGUUCUUUGCCAUAAGUGAGUCUACAUCAAAGCAGCAGGAAAUAACAAUAUUAAGGCAAGAAGAAGUUUAUGAUGUGCCACUCAUGCCAGAAACUAGAACUGUAAGGAGAUUGCAUCUUCUGCAGAAGCUAUCUGCUCGGAGCUUCCACAGCAGUCAUCCCAUCAAUGUGAUCAAUCUUCCACCCCAAGUUGUGGUGACAGUGUAUUCUCUGAUGUAAGGUAAUGUUAUCAAAUUUCUCGGGAGGGUUAGGUUUCUUUCUGAUUUUAUCUCAAACAAAUAUGUUAGUAACUCACAAUGUGUUCUCUCUUUCAGUUAAUUAGCUUCAUUUCUUUCACCCACUUUUUAAGAUUAUCGUAGACUGCAUUCUUAUUAAUCAUGAAAGCAUU